AUUGAACGCUGGCGGCAGGCCUAACACAUGCAAGUCGAACGGUAACAGAAAGCAGCUUGCUGCUUUGCUGACGAGUGGCGGACGGGUGAGUAAUGUCUGGGAAACUGCCUGAUGGAGGGGGAUAACUACUGGAAACGGUAGCUAAUACCGCAUAACGUCGCAAGACCAAAGAGGGGGACCUUCGGGCCUCUUGCCAUCGGACGUGCCCAGAUGGGAUUAGCUAGUGGGUGGGGUAACGGCUCACCUAGGCGACGAUCCCUAGCUGGUCUGAGAGGAUGACCAGCCACACUGGAACUGAGACACGGUCCAGACUCCUACGGGAGGCAGCAGUGGGGAAUAUUGCACAAUGGGCGCAAGCCUGAUGCAGCCAUGCCGCGUGUAUGAAGAAGGCCUUCGGGUUGUAAAGUACUUUCAGCGAGGAGGAAGGUGUUGUGGUUAAUAACCACAGCAAUUGACGUUACUCGCAGAAGAAGCACCGGCUAACUCCGUGCCAGCCGCCGCAGUAA
Molecule: ribosomal RNA, 506 nt
Filed under: uncultured bacterium
Lineage: Bacteria
Description: partial 16S ribosomal RNA
Rfam family: Bacterial small subunit ribosomal RNA
Source: RNAcentral